AUCACGUUGAAACGUCGGUUCCCGUACGAUGACCGAAGUUAAGCAACGUCGAGGCUGGUCAGUACCUAGAUGGGUGACAUUUUAGAAAUACCAAGUGCUGUAC
Non-coding RNA from Acanthosepion pharaonis, 103 nucleotides. Lineage: Eukaryota; Metazoa; Mollusca; Cephalopoda; Sepiida; Sepiidae. The record is from the annotation of a GenBank genome assembly.